AGGCAAGAUGUUGGCAUAGCUGUUAACCUAAAAACCUGCUAUGCCAACAUAUUGUCAUC
This 59-nucleotide microRNA precursor is filed under the name Gallus gallus (chicken). RNAcentral's name for it is "Gga-Mir-31_pre stem-loop". It matches the Rfam family "mir-31 microRNA precursor family", at positions 12 to 71 of the family's 83-position model. The record is from RNAcentral. Lineage: Eukaryota; Metazoa; Chordata; Aves; Galliformes; Phasianidae.